UACGGGGGGGGCAAGCGUUGUUCGGAAUUACUGGGCGUAAAGGGCUCGUAGGUGGCCAACUAAGUCAGACGUGAAAUCCCUCAGCUUAACUGGGGAACUGCGUCUGAUACUGGAUGGCUUGAGAUUGGGAGAGGGAUGCGGAAUUCCAGGUGUAGCGGUGAAAUGCGUAGAUAUCGGGAGGAACACCAGUGGCGAAAGCGGCUACCUGGCCCAUUCUUGACGCUGAGGCGCGAAAGCUAGGGGAGCAAACGGG
This 253-nucleotide ribosomal RNA is filed under the name uncultured bacterium. RNAcentral's name for it is "partial 16S ribosomal RNA". It matches the Rfam family "Bacterial small subunit ribosomal RNA", at positions 524 to 776 of the family's 1533-position model. The record is from RNAcentral.